CCUACGGGCGGCUGCAGUGGGGAAUAUUGGGCAAUGGAGGCAACUCUGACCCAGCAACGCCGCGUGAGGGAAGAAGGUUUUCGGAUUGUAAACCUCUGUCCUAGGGGACGAAGAAAGUGACGGUACCCUAGGAGGAAGCCCCGGCUAACUACGUGCCAGCAGCCGCGGUAAUACGUAGGGGGCAAGCGUUGUCCGGAAUUACUGGGCGUAAAGGGUGCGUAGGCGGUUUGGUAAGUUAGAUGUGAAAUCCCCGGGCUUAACUCGGGAGUUGCAUUUAAAACUGCUGAACUAGAGUGCAGGAGAGGAAAGCGGAAUUCCUAGUGUAGCGGUGAAAUGCGUAGAUAUUAGGAGGAACACCAGUGGCGAAGGCGGCUUUCUGGACUGUAACUGACGCUGAGGCACGAAAGCGUGGGGAGCGAACAGGAUUAGAUACCCUGGUAGUC
Molecule: ribosomal RNA, 443 nt
Filed under: uncultured Christensenellaceae bacterium
Lineage: Bacteria; Bacillati; Bacillota; Clostridia; Christensenellales; Christensenellaceae
Description: bacterial SSU rRNA
Rfam family: Bacterial small subunit ribosomal RNA
Source: RNAcentral